AAGUUUGAUCAUGGCUCAGAACGAACGCUGGCGGCAUGCCUAACACAUGCAAGUCGAACGAAGUCUUCGGACUUAGUGGCGCACGGGUGAGUAACAUGUGGGAAUCUACCUAGAGGUUCGGAAUAACUGCGGGAAACUGUAGCUAAUACCGGAUGUGUCCGUAAGGAGAAAGAUUUAUCGCCUUUAGAUGAGCCCGCACUGGAUUAGCUUGUUGGUGAGGUAAUAGCUCCACCAAGGCUACGAUCUAUAGCUGAUUUGAGAGGAUGAUCAGCCACACUGGGACUGAGACACGGCCCAGACUCCUACGGGAGGCAGCAGUGGGGAAUAUUGGACAAUGGGGGAAACCCUGAUCCAGCAAUGCCGCGUGAGUGAAGAAGGCCUUCGGGUUGUAAAACUCUUUCAUCAACGAAGAUAAUGACAUUAAUUGAAGAAGAAGCUCCGGCUAACUCCGUGCCAGCAGCCGCGGUAAUACGGAGGGGGCUAGCGUUGUUCGGAAUCACUGGGCGUAAAGCGUAUGUAGGCGGAUCAAAAAGUUAGAUGUGAAAUCCCUGGGCUCAACCCAGGAACUGCAUUUAAAACUAGUGAUCUAGAAUUUGGUAGAGGUUAGUAGAAUUUCCAGUGUAGAGGUGAAAUUCGUAGAUAUUG
This 645-nucleotide ribosomal RNA is filed under the name uncultured bacterium. Its description in RNAcentral is "bacterial SSU rRNA". It matches the Rfam family "Bacterial small subunit ribosomal RNA", at positions 9 to 699 of the family's 1533-position model. The record is from RNAcentral.